RNAcentral lists this ribosomal RNA (158 nucleotides) under Mucor amphibiorum. Its description in RNAcentral is "5.8S ribosomal RNA". It matches the Rfam family "5.8S ribosomal RNA". Rfam says of the family: 5.8S ribosomal RNA (5.8S rRNA) is a component of the large subunit of the eukaryotic ribosome. The record is from RNAcentral. Lineage: Eukaryota; Fungi; Mucoromycota; Mucoromycetes; Mucorales; Mucoraceae.
AACUUUUAACAAUGGAUCUCUUGGUUCUCGCAUCGAUGAAGAACGUAGCAAAGUGCGAUAACUAGUGUGAAUUGCAUAUUCAGUGAAUCAUCGAGUCUUUGAACGCAACUUGCACUCAUUGGUAUUCCAAUGAGUACGCCUGUUUCAGUAUCAAAAAC